RNAcentral lists this ribosomal RNA (468 nucleotides) under uncultured bacterium. RNAcentral's name for it is "partial 16S ribosomal RNA". It matches the Rfam family "Bacterial small subunit ribosomal RNA", at positions 28 to 507 of the family's 1533-position model. The record is from RNAcentral.
GACGAACGCUGGCGGCGUGCUUAACACAUGCAAGUCGAACGGAAAGGCCCUGCUUUUGUGGGGUGCUCGAGUGGCGAACGGGUGAUUAACACGUGAGUAACCUGCCCUUGACUUUGGGUUCACUUCAGGAAACUUGGUCUCAUACCGGAUAUGAGCUCCUGCUGCGUGGUGGGUGUUGGAACGUUUCGGCGGUUGGGGAUGUACUCGCGGCUUAUCAGCUUGUUGGUGGGGUAGUGGCUUACCAAGGGUUUGACGGGUAGCCGGCCUGAGAGGGUGACCGGCAACAAUGGGACUGAGAUACGGCCCAGACUCCUACGGGAGGCAGCAGUGGGGAAUAUUGCACAAUGGGCGGAAGCCUGAUGAAGAAACGCCGCGUGCGGGAUGACGGCCUUCGGGUUGUAAAACGCUUUCGCCUGUGACGAAGCGUGAGUGACGGUAAUGGGUAAAGAAGCACCGGCUAACUACGUG